This 701-nucleotide long non-coding RNA is filed under the name Nicotiana benthamiana. RNAcentral's name for it is "long non-coding RNA (NBEN_LNC028114)". The record is from RNAcentral. Lineage: Eukaryota; Viridiplantae; Streptophyta; Magnoliopsida; Solanales; Solanaceae.
AAGCAAGCAAACAUAAAGAACCCAGUAGGAGACAUAUACAAUAGAAAUCACGUACGAAAACAUAGCAGAGAUAAUCAUAUGAGCCUAGUCUAGAGGCACAUUAGAAUGAAAAGCAUAGAAGGAUCAUGCUUAAUCGAAAGAAAAGCAGAAGAUCAAGCACAUGCGUAGUAGUGAAGAAAAUAUACGAGAUGAACAUAGAAAAACACACAUAAAGAAAAGAGAAUAAAGAAUCAGAAAGUUUUCAGAAACCCUAGUUUUUAAAUCAAACGAUCUUAAAGAGAAAGUUGGGGAAAACCUUUGAGAUGUCGAAUAUAGCACAUAUAUAGCAUAGAUAUAAGACAACAAGUAGAGAAAAAACUUGAAUAGCUUUAGGUUAUGUCUGAACCCUUGAGAUCAGAAGGCUUGGAAGAAAGUCCAGUCUGGAGUCGGAGAUGGUCAUAGCUAGCCUCCUAAAGCUUGAAUACGUCAAAGCAAGGCCGGAGAAGCCAUAGAAUCACAGAUCUGUAGAGGAUCUGAACGGAUGCCAUUGAGAUCAGACCUCGAAAUCUCGAACACCCAUGGUUUGGGGUUGAAGGAAGGUGAGUACAGGCCGUCCAUGGCUUGAGAAGCCAUGGACUCCGGUGAAAUAAUGGUUGGAGUAAGGUAGGCGGCUGUUAGGGUUUUGAGUGCUUGAGAGCAUUUCGAGAGAGAAGAGAUUUCAG